GGGGCUGUCCUGGUUUCGACGUGGGUACGGAUCUGGAGUGGUGCAUGUCGAGCUUGAGUUACGCUCGUAAAUCUCAAUUCAAAAAACUAACUGCAAACGACGAUCGUUUCGCACUCGCUGCUUAAUACCGGCGAGACUUGCAACAGCACGUUGAUGGGCUGUGCAAAAAAGUCGCAAGACUUCUAGCUGCAAGUUAAUCUACAUCAACUGGUUGGCUGCCGGGCACCUUGGUAGUCAACGAGAUCUAAGGAUGCUGGCUCUUUGCAAAGCGUGUGGCUGCGCGCUGUAGGGAGCGAGAUCAAAUCAGACCACUAAACAUGUAGAUCUGCCCGGCAAAGGCUUGCGGACGCGGGUUCAAUUCCCGCCAGCUCCACCA
Molecule: transfer-messenger RNA, 376 nt
Filed under: Lampropedia aestuarii
Lineage: Bacteria; Pseudomonadati; Pseudomonadota; Betaproteobacteria; Burkholderiales; Comamonadaceae
Description: Standard tmRNA
Rfam family: transfer-messenger RNA
About the family: Bacterial tmRNA, also known as 10Sa RNA or SsrA, is named for its dual tRNA and mRNA-like properties. Its role is to liberate the mRNA from a stalled ribosome.
Source: Rfam by way of RNAcentral